This 2033-nucleotide unclassified non-coding RNA is filed under the name Hevea brasiliensis (rubber tree). The record is from RNAcentral. Lineage: Eukaryota; Viridiplantae; Streptophyta; Magnoliopsida; Malpighiales; Euphorbiaceae.
CUCGUCUAUAUCCAUCAUCUCUCUCUUAAUUUUUAUUUUUUUUCUUUCCCCAACAACUUCAACUUCUCUAUAAGUCAUAACUUCCAUCUUUCUUUCAAUUUACAACAAAAAAAUAAAUAAAUCAUUCUUUUCUUCAUUUCAUACAUCAAUAUAGGUCACUUGCAACCAAAUAUCGAAAAAUACACUCAUUUUAAUUCUAUCGACAAAAGAAAUGUGGAAUUUAAAUGAUUCCCCUGAUCAGACAAUGGAGUAUGAAUCCGAUGAAGGUAUAACGGUUAGAUCGGAAUCAAAUUCAAUUUCAUCCGCUCUACUUGUUGUAGAAGACGGUAAUUCAUCAGAAGAAGACGGUGAAAAAGGUAAAAAAAAGAAAAGUAAUAAUACACCAGGUAAAAUAUUCGGAUUUUCGAUUAAAGACCACAAUUUGGAAUCGCCGGUAGUUACCCGGCAAUUUUUUCCGGUAGAUAACGAGUCUACCAAUUUUCCAAGGGCACAAUGGGCUGGAAUUAAAUUUUGUGAAUCGGAACCGCCACUUGUCAAUGGAUUAGUGGGGAACAAAAUUGACGUGUUGCAACAACAGCCAAUUAAAAAAAGCCGUCGUGGACCACGUUCAAGAAGUUCACAGUACCGUGGUGUUACCUUUUACCGGAGGACUGGCCGGUGGGAAUCUCAUAUAUGGGAUUGUGGGAAACAAGUGUAUUUAGGUGGAUUUGAUACAGCACAUGCAGCAGCUCGUGCAUAUGAUAGGGCAGCAAUCAAAUUCCGGGGAGCGGAGGCGGACAUAAACUUUACCUCGAAAGAUUAUGAAGAUGACUUAAAACAGAUGAGCAAUUUAACCAAAGAAGAAUUUGUGCAUGUACUAAGGAGACAAAGUACUGGUUUUCCAAGAGGAAGUUCCAAGUAUAGAGGAGUCACUUUGCAUAAAUGUGGUAGAUGGGAAGCUAGAAUGGGACAAUUCUUAGGCAAAAAGUAUGUUUAUUUAGGCCUAUUUGAUACUGAAGUUGAAGCUGCCAGAGCUUAUGAUAAAGCUGCUAUCAAGUGUAAUGGAAAAGAUGCAGUUACCAACUUUGAUCGUAGCAUUUAUGAAAAUGAACUUAACUCAACCGAAUGUACUGAUAAUGCAACGGACCACAAUCUUGACUUAAGCUUAGGAGGUUCAAGCCAAGAAAUGGGGGACAAUAGGGGUCAAAAUUCUUCAUCUAAUUUGCAAUUGGAUGGCCAUUGGGGCCACCAAGGGUCAUCAAGGCAUAAUAAUAAGGUUCAGACUCCGAGCAGCUCUUGCAAAGCCUCAUAAAGAACCCAGUUCUGAGCCAACACUCAUCAAAAGGUAUUCCUGUCCGUAUGUUGGAUGCAAGCGCAAUAAGGAGCAUAAAAAGUUUCAACCUCUCAAAACCAUCUUAUGUGUGAAAAACCAUUACAAGAGAACCCACUGUGAGAAAGCCUAUACUUGUAGUAGAUGUAACAUUAAGAAAUUUUCAGUAAUUGCUGAUCUUAAAACACAUGAAAAGCAUUGUGGAAAGGAUAAGUGGCUUUGUUCCUGUGGAACAACAUUUUCGAGGAAAGACAAGCUUUUUGGACACAUUUCCCUUUUUCAAGGUCAUACUCCUGCAGUUUCUCCGGAUGAAACUAAAGGAUCUGCUGGGACAUCUGACCGGGGCCAAACCGGUGAAGUCACCAUGAAAGCUCGACAAGAAAACUAUAAGGUAAAUGCUUCACAUGGCAAUGAGUUUCAAAAUCCCGGGGUUGUAAAAGAGUGUCCAUACAAUCCAAGCAGUUAUUUCUCACCUUUGAACUUCGAUACUAGCAAUCUUAAUGGAUUUCAAGAGUUCCCUCGACCACCAUUUGACGAGUCAGAUAGCUCAUUCUCAUUUCUGCUGUCUGGAUCAUGUGAAUACCCUCCUCACAAGGCUGCAAAAUUUAUGAGUUCUAGUGAAAUGGAAUAACAUCAACCAGUAUUCGAUUUGUCUUUGGUUCAUUGUAGCUAUCUAUUCUAUCAUGCCAUUAUUUUUUUUUUCAGAAUAACUGUCUUUUCCUUA